UUAUAACUUUGAGCGGUGGAUCACUCGGCUCGUGCGUCGAUGAAGAGCGCAGCCAGCUGCGUGAACUAAUGUGAAUUGCAGAACACA
This 87-nucleotide ribosomal RNA is filed under the name Gyliotrachela salpinx. RNAcentral describes it as "partial 5.8S ribosomal RNA". It matches the Rfam family "5.8S ribosomal RNA", at positions 1 to 83 of the family's 154-position model. Rfam says of the family: 5.8S ribosomal RNA (5.8S rRNA) is a component of the large subunit of the eukaryotic ribosome. The record is from RNAcentral. Lineage: Eukaryota; Metazoa; Mollusca; Gastropoda; Stylommatophora; Vertiginidae.